Long non-coding RNA from Oncorhynchus nerka (sockeye salmon), 408 nucleotides. RefSeq lists it as uncharacterized. The transcript is spliced from 3 exons. Lineage: Eukaryota; Metazoa; Chordata; Actinopteri; Salmoniformes; Salmonidae. The record is from RefSeq and is a predicted model, not a curated record.
UGAAUCUCUGGACAGUUGUAUCCAGAACACCCUCUCAGCCCUCUACCCUCCCUUUGAUGCCACAGCCUCCACGGUGCUGUGUCAGGUAUUUGAUGUGGUGGAGACCAGCUACAGAGGAGACGGAUUAAGAUACCUUAUUGACUUCCUGGUCCCUGCCAAACACAUCCUGCAGACCAUCCAGCAACAUGCCUGUUUCCCGUACUGCGGCCUGUUAUUCCGGCACCAGGGCUGGCCUCUGUGUCUCCAGGACAAGGUGAUCAUCCAGCUCUCUCCUCUGGACCCACGUGUCCUCCGCCCCGGGGACUUCUACCUACAGGUGGCAUCGCCCUCUGUCUCCCCCAGCUCUUCCUCCACCAACACCCCCAACUCCUCCUCCACCAACACCCCCGGCUCCUCCUCCACCAACAC